AUAACGACUCUCGGCAACGGAUAUCUCGGCUCUCGCAUCGAUGCAGAAUCCCGUGAACCAUCGAGUCUUUGAACGCAAGUUGCGCCCGAAAACCUCUGGUCGAGGGCACGUUUGCCUGGGUGUCACA
RNAcentral lists this ribosomal RNA (127 nucleotides) under Syncarpia hillii. Its description in RNAcentral is "5.8S ribosomal RNA". It matches the Rfam family "5.8S ribosomal RNA". Rfam says of the family: 5.8S ribosomal RNA (5.8S rRNA) is a component of the large subunit of the eukaryotic ribosome. It is transcribed by RNA polymerase I as part of the 45S precursor that also contains 18S and 28S rRNA. The record is from RNAcentral. Lineage: Eukaryota; Viridiplantae; Streptophyta; Magnoliopsida; Myrtales; Myrtaceae.